RNAcentral lists this ribosomal RNA (619 nucleotides) under Escherichia coli. Its description in RNAcentral is "partial 23S ribosomal RNA". It matches the Rfam family "Bacterial large subunit ribosomal RNA", at positions 614 to 1234 of the family's 2925-position model. The record is from RNAcentral. Lineage: Bacteria; Pseudomonadati; Pseudomonadota; Gammaproteobacteria; Enterobacterales; Enterobacteriaceae.
AAUGGGUCAGCGACUUAUAUUCUGUAGCAAGGUUAACCGAAUAGGGGAGCCGAAGGGAAACCGAGUCUUAACUGGGCGUUAAGUUGCAGGGUAUAGACCCGAAACCCGGUGAUCUAGCCAUGGGCAGGUUGAAGGUUGGGUAACACUAACUGGAGGACCGAACCGACUAAUGUUGAAAAAUUAGCGGAUGACUUGUGGCUGGGGGUGAAAGGCCAAUCAAACCGGGAGAUAGCUGGUUCUCCCCGAAAGCUAUUUAGGUAGCGCCUCGUGAAUUCAUCUCCGGGGGUAGAGCACUGUUUCGGCAAGGGGGUCAUCCCGACUUACCAACCCGAUGCAAACUGCGAAUACCGGAGAAUGUUAUCACGGGAGACACACGGCGGGUGCUAACGUCCGUCGUGAAGAGGGAAACAACCCAGACCGCCAGCUAAGGUCCCAAAGUCAUGGUUAAGUGGGAAACGAUGUGGGAAGGCCCAGACAGCCAGGAUGUUGGCUUAGAAGCAGCCAUCAUUUAAAGAAAGCGUAAUAGCUCACUGGUCGAGUCGGCCUGCGCGGAAGAUGUAACGGGGCUAAACCAUGCACCGAAGCUGCGGCAGCGACACUAUGUGUUGUUGGGUAGGGG